CUGCGAAUGGCUCAUUAAAUCAGUUAUCGUUUAUUUGAUAGUACCUUACUACUUGGAUAACCGUGGUAAUUCUAGAGCUAAUACAUGCUGAAAACCCCGACUUCGGAAGGGAUGUAUUUAUUAGAUUAAAAGCCAAUGCCCUCCGGGGCUCACUGGUGAUUCAUGAUAACUUCUCGAAUCGCACGGCCUUGCGCCGGCGAUGGUUCAUUCAAAUUUCUGCCCUAUCAACUUUCGACGGCUGGGUCUUGGCCAGCCGUGGUGACAACGGGUAACGGAGGGUUAGGGCUCGACCCCGGAGAAGGAGCCUGAGAAACGGCUACUACAUCCAAGGAAGGCAGCAGGCGCGCAAAUUACCCAAUCCCGACGCGGGGAGGUAGUGACAAUAAAUACUGAUACAGGGCUCUUUUGGGUCUUGUAAUUGGAAUGAGUACAAUUUAAUUCCCUUAACGAGGAACAAUUGGAGGGCAAGUCUGGUGCCAGCAGCCGCGGUAAUUCCAGCUCCAAUAGCGUAUAUUAAAGUUGUUGCAGUUAAAAAGCUCGUAGUUGAACCUUGGGCCUGGCUGGCCGGUCCGCCUCACCGCGUGCACUGGACCGGCCGGGCCUUUCCCUCUGGGGAGCCUCAUGCCCUUCGCUGGGCGUGACGGGGAACCAGGACGUUUACUUUGAAAAAAUUAGAGUGUUCAAAGCAGGCUUAUGCUCGGAUACAUUAGCAUGGAAUAAUGAAAUAGGACGUGCGGUUCUAUUUUGUUGGUUUCUAGGACCGCCGUAAUGAUUAAUAGGGACAGUCGGGGGCAUCAGUAUUCAGUUGUCAGAGGUGAAAUUCUUGGAUUUACUGAAGACUAACUACUGCGAAAGCAUUUGCCAAGGAUGUUUUCAUUAAUCAGGAACGAAAGUUAGGGGAUCGAAGACGAUCAGAUACCGUCGUAGUCUUAACCAUAAACUAUGCCGACUAGGGAUCGGACGGUGUUAUUCUUUGACCCGUUCGGCACCUUGCACGAAAGUACAAGUUUCUGGGU
RNAcentral lists this small RNA (1016 nucleotides) under Raffaelea ellipticospora. RNAcentral describes it as "SSU rRNA". It matches the Rfam family "Eukaryotic small subunit ribosomal RNA", at positions 87 to 1112 of the family's 1831-position model. The record is from RNAcentral. Lineage: Eukaryota; Fungi; Ascomycota; Sordariomycetes; Ophiostomatales; Ophiostomataceae.